RNAcentral lists this ribosomal RNA (497 nucleotides) under uncultured bacterium. RNAcentral describes it as "partial 16S ribosomal RNA". It matches the Rfam family "Bacterial small subunit ribosomal RNA", at positions 28 to 507 of the family's 1533-position model. The record is from RNAcentral.
GAUGAACGCUGGCGGCGUGCCUAAUACAUGCAAGUCGAGCGAACGGACGAGAAGCUUGCUUCUCUGAUGUUAGCGGCGGACGGGUGAGUAACACGUGGAUAACCUACCUAUAAGACUGGGAUAACUUCGGGAAACCGGAGCUAAUACCGGAUAAUAUUUUGAACCGCAUGGUUCAAAAGUGAAAGACGGUCUUGCUGUCACUUAUAGAUGGAUCCGCGCUGCAUUAGCUAGUUGGUAAGGUAACGGCUUACCAAGGCAACGAUGCAUAGCCGGCCUGAGAGGGUGAUCGGCCACACUGGAACUGAGACACGGUCCAGACUCCUACGGGAGGCAGCAGUAGGGAAUCUUCCGCAAUGGGCGAAAGCCUGACGGAGCAACGCCGCGUGAGUGAUGAAGGUCUUCGGAUCGUAAAACUCUGUUAUUAGGGAAGAACAUAUGUGUAAGUAACUGUGCACAUCUUGACGGUACCUAAUCAGAAAGCCACGGCUAACUACGUG